AUUGAACGCUGGCGGCAUGCCUUACACAUGCAGGUCGAACGGCAGCACGGGAGCAAUCCUGGUGGCGAGUGGCGAACGGGUGAGUAAAGUAUCGGAACGUGCCCAGUCGUGGGGGAUAACGUAGCGAAAGUUACGCUAAUACCGCAUACGAUCUAUGGAUGAAAGCGGGGGAUCGCAAGACCUCGCGCGAUUGGAGCGGCCGAUAUCAGAUUAGGUAGUUGGUGGGGUAAAGGCUCACCAAGCCGACGAUCUGUAGCUGGUCUGGGAGGAAGACCGGCAACACUGGGACUGAGACACGGCCCAGACUCCUACGGGAGGCAGCAGUGGGGAAUUUUGGACAAUGGGCGAAAGCCUGAUCCAGCCAUGCCGCGUGCAGGAUGAAGGCCUUCGGGUUGUAAACUGCUUUUGUACGGAACGAAAAGGUUUGGCCUAAUAAGCUGAGCUCAUGACGGUACCGUAAGAAUAAGCACCGGCUAACUACGUGCCAGCAGCCGCCGUAA
Molecule: ribosomal RNA, 500 nt
Filed under: uncultured bacterium
Lineage: Bacteria
Description: partial 16S ribosomal RNA
Rfam family: Bacterial small subunit ribosomal RNA
Source: RNAcentral